AUUGAACGCUGGCGGCAGGCCUAACACAUGCGAGUCGAGCGGAUGAAGGGAGCUUGCUCCUGGAUUCAGCGGCGGACGGGUGAGUAAUGCCUAGGAAUCUGCCUGGUAGUGGGGGAUAACGUCCGGAAACGGGCGCUAAUACCGCAUACGUCCUGAGGGAGAAAGUGGGGGAUCUUCGGACCUCACGCUAUCAGAUGAGCCUAGGUCGGAUUAGCUAGUUGGUGGGGUAAAGGCCUACCAAGGCGACGAUCCGUAACUGGUCUGAGAGGAUGAUCAGUCACACUGGAACUGAGACACGGUCCAGACUCCUACGGGAGGCAGCAGUGGGGAAUAUUGGACAAUGGGCGAAAGCCUGAUCCAGCCAUGCCGCGUGUGUGAAGAAGGUCUUCGGAUUGUAAAGCACUUUAAGUUGGGAGGAAGGGCAGUAAGUUAAUACCUUGCUGUUUUGACGUUACCAACAGAAUAAGCGCCGGCUAACUUCGUG
This 484-nucleotide ribosomal RNA is filed under the name uncultured bacterium. Its description in RNAcentral is "partial 16S ribosomal RNA". It matches the Rfam family "Bacterial small subunit ribosomal RNA", at positions 30 to 507 of the family's 1533-position model. The record is from RNAcentral.